UGAGUGGGCCGGACGGUCGCGGGGCGGCAACGCCGCCUCGAGGAAAGUCCGAACUCCGUAGAGCACGGUGCUGGGUAACGCCCAGGCGAGGCGACUCGACGGCAAGUGCAACAGAGAGCAGGUCGCCCCGGCAUCCCCUGCGAGGGGGAGGCGGGGGCAAGAGUGAAAGGGUGGCGUAAGAGACCACCAGCGGUCCGGGUGACCGGGCCGGCUAGGCAAACCCCACCGGGAGCAAGGCCAAGCAUGGGGCAGGCGGGUCGCCGCAAGGCGGCGCCGUCACGGGUGGCUCGCCCGAGCCCCGGGUAGGCCGCAGGAGGCGUCGAGCAAUCGGCGUCCCAGAUAGAUGACCGUCCGCUUUCCCCGGGCAACCGGGUGGGGGCGACAGAAUUCGGCUUAUAGGCUCGCUCAGUUU
RNAcentral lists this RNase P RNA (412 nucleotides) under Chloroflexota bacterium. Its description in RNAcentral is "Chloroflexi bacterium (anaerobic digester metagenome) RNase P RNA component class A". It matches the Rfam family "Bacterial RNase P class A". Rfam says of the family: Ribonuclease P (RNase P) is a ubiquitous endoribonuclease, found in archaea, bacteria and eukarya as well as chloroplasts and mitochondria. Its best characterised activity is the generation of mature 5'-ends of tRNAs by cleaving the 5'-leader elements of precursor-tRNAs. Lineage: Bacteria; Bacillati; Chloroflexota. The record is from RNAcentral.